Long non-coding RNA from Anopheles merus, 2946 nucleotides. RefSeq lists it as uncharacterized. The transcript has 3 exons. Lineage: Eukaryota; Metazoa; Arthropoda; Insecta; Diptera; Culicidae. The record is from RefSeq and is a predicted model, not a curated record.
AAUAGAAACGCCACCAGCAGCGGACGCAGCGCCACACACGCAUUUUACUCCAUUAGCAGUCUGGGGGCCGCUCGGGAAACACAGUUGCGAGCCAGCAGGCCAACAAACCGAAGUAAAGGAGAAGAAGCAAAAGAAGAACAAAUCUUAUACAAAACAAAAAAAAUAAUUAUAUAGGACGUGUCUCUCCGUGCGUGCGAUUUUCAACCAUUUUCCACACACACAAUCUCGCAAAUCCCCUCACAGCACAAGGAUAUAUUAAGCUUCUAGUGUGUGUGUGUGCGUGUAUGUGACACGGUUUUGAUGUUACUCACUCUUUCCCGCGCACAACAACAACAGCAACAGCAACAACAACACAUGUCCCUGGCGUGUUUUGCCAAGCGUUAGCCGCGUGGUGGUGCUGCUACUUAGAAGAAGGCGCAAAAGCAAGAACAAGAUUGUGUGUGCGUGCGUACGUGUGUCUGUGUGUGUGUGUGAGAGAGAGUGUUUUUACAAAAUAAUACAAAUAAAACCACACAGCGCAGCACGAGCCAGAGCAGUCCAGCAUCAAUCACAAAUCGCAGGCAACAAACACAACUCAAGAAGGAAGAUCACCCCGGCAGGAUCAGCAGCACACCUCCUGCGUGCGUGCGCGUGUGCACAUGUGUGGGCUGCCCGCUGCACGAUCGUCUGCCGUGUCCAGCAGCGCGUACAGUGUGAGCGGCGGCAGCAUCAGCACCAAGCCGACGGCCAGGAAGACCACAUUGGCGUCGCUGGUGGCGUCGGCGGUGGUGGUGGCGGCGGCAGCAGCCGUGAGCAACAGCUCGCUGGCGUAAGAGCUGCAGCAGCAGCAGCAGCAGGUGAAGGACGGGGCCAUGUUUGAAGAUGGUAGCCACCGUCCACGCGCGCACCGGGCCAAGAUCGUCAACCUUUGUAGCGACGCGUAAGCAAGUGUAUCGUCCCUCCGGGUAGCACCAACGUGUGUGUGUGUGUGUAUGUGUGUGUGCGCGCGCGCGUGUGUGUGUGUACCAGCAGCGCACCAUCCCGCGUCGUAGCCACACACCCCCCUCCCGCCCGCCGCCCACGGGGUGCGAACGGUUGUUCCGUUUGGUUUUGUUUUGUUUUUGUUUUGCUUGCCGAGCAGACGACGAACCUCCCCGCCCAAACCUUCCAGCCGCUUUUUUGGACAGUGGAAAUUGUGUGUGCGUGUGUGCGUGUGUGUGUCAGUGGCAGUGUGCAGAAAGUGUGUGUUUCACUGUGAUCGGAUCCAGCCUAGCGCCGCCACCACCGCCCCAGGAAUAGCAGCAAAGCCAUCCCCCCGCCUUCUCCCCACGACGGUCCCGGCGUCCGCGGGAGGAUCGGGUGGAUCUCAAAGGAAUCUACUCCUCCAACUUCGGCUGUGUGAGUGUGUGUGUGUUAGAACAGUAACCGCGUGCAAAACCGCGUGCUUGUGUGUUGCCAACUGUAUCAGGAUCCUUCAAUCAAUCAAAGCAAAAAGGGAGGAAAUCGAUAAAAUACCCCAGCUACUCCUCCCCCGCAACACCAACCUCCUCCCGCGAUCGCGUCCGUGUCCUCCCGGAUGCGUGUUUCCGUGCGUGUGUGCGUCUAGUAAGCCCAAGUGGACAACAGUGUGUGUGUGCGCGUUUGAAAAAAAGUUUUAAUUUUGUGGCGUUGAAAAAAAAAAGCAAAAAAACUGAACCUCUUGCCAUCCUGCCCCUCGCCGUGGCCACCGACUGUGUGUGUCUGUGUGUGUGCGUGUGUGUGUGAAUAUCCUCCGGAAGUCUCCUCAGUCCUAAUCACACGCCCGACAGAGUGAGAGAGAGAGAGAGACUACGACCUACACACAAUCAACCCCGAAGCGGAACAGCGCAUCAGCCUCCUGCUCCUCCUGCUCCUCCACCCCUUUCUCUGUGUCUGUGAUUGUGUGCGUGUGCGCGUGUGUGUGUGUGUUUGCGUUCAAUCAAGUAUCUAAGCGCCCGCACAGCCCACCCACCCCGCCACCUUCUUCCUCCUCAAUAAACCAACCCCCCCCCUCCACACUUUCGUUCGCGGUGCGUGUGUGUGUGUGUGUGUGUGUUGGCCGUGCCGUCUCCGCGGACACCUUCGCAGCCUCCUCCUCACUCCUCCCCCUCCUCCACUUCGCCCCGCUCAGCCUUCUCUCCUCAUCGGCGACCGAUCGACGCACGACCAUCAAGCCGCGCUCGCCCAGGCUGGUACGCGGCGCGUCCGGCUUUGCCCACAAUCAACCGACCGUUAUAUAUGGAGUGCUGGACGGGUAACGCCCGCUUGGCGAAAUUCUUCGAUUAAGCAGCGUAAGCUGUCACCGACAUGGGCAGUGAUCAUUACUGCUUGAGGUGGAACAAUCAUCAAUCCAACCUUCUCGGGGUGUUCAGCCAAUUGCUCCAGGACGAGAGUCUGGUGGACGUCACACUCGCUUGCUCAGAGGGCGCCUCCAUCCGAGCCCACAAGGUAAGUUGCAAACGCGGGGAUAUCAUUUUCAGGGGGUGACUUUCAGGUUUAGGUUUAGGAUUUUGUGUGAAGACAUAGAACUAGGAGGUGGAAUCCAUUGUAAGGCUCUAGUUUGACGGCAGACGAGUUCGUUCCGAGUCGUCGAAAAUACAAGACAUCUAGAGCAUUCAAAACUGAAAACAUCCCGUGGAAUUCCAUGGACAUCUCCAAGAUUUGGGAGUUUCCCGAAGUUGGAGGUUGUUUCAUCUUGAUCAGAUUUAGAUCCAAGUCUUCGAAAAUACAAGACAUCCAGAGCAUUCAAAACUGAACUAAAACAUCCCAUGCAAUUUCAUGGACAUCUCCAGGAUUUGGGAGUUUCCCAAAGUUGGAGGUUGUUUCUUCUUAAUCAGAUUAAGAAGAUGUCCAGGUACAGUUGUUUAUUGAGAUUUUUGCAAGAAUUACGGAAAUAUUCUCACGCUGAAGAAUAUAGUAGCGCUACCAGUCUACAACUUCAUUGUGAGU